GAUGAACGCUGGCGGCAUGCUUUACACAUGCAAGUCGGACGGGAAGUGGUGUUUUUAGUGGCGGACGGGUGAGUCACGCGUAAGAAUAUGCCCUUGGGAGGGGAACAACAGCUGGAAAAGGACGCCAAUACACCGUAGGCUGUGGAGCGAAAGGAGGUGUCCGCCCAGGGAGGGGCUCGCGGCUGAUGAGCUUGUUGGUGGGGUAGUGGCUUACCAAGGCUGUGAUGGGUAGACGGUCCGAGAGGGUGAUCGGCCACAUUGGGACUGAGACAAGGCCCAGAAUAGUACGGGAGGCAGCAGUGGGGAAUAGUGCACAAUGGGCGGAAGCCUGAUGCAGCAACGCCGCGUGCGGGAUGAAGGCCUUCGUGUUGUAAACAGCUUUCGCCUGUGACGAAGCGUGAGUGACGGUAAUGGGUAAAGAAGCACCGGCUAACUACGUG
RNAcentral lists this ribosomal RNA (440 nucleotides) under uncultured bacterium. RNAcentral's name for it is "partial 16S ribosomal RNA". It matches the Rfam family "Bacterial small subunit ribosomal RNA", at positions 28 to 507 of the family's 1533-position model. The record is from RNAcentral.